AUGCUACCCUUUUCCAAGCUCCACAAGCAAAUCGCCCCUCAGCCUCCCUUUKUUGAAUGGGGCUCCGGUUGWRUCAUCGCCCCCAACCAACACGUUCAAAGGAUCACGGCCAUUCGAUUGACCAUGCAAUCAAUGCAUGCUUCCAGAAGGAUGCACAGCCAAAAACGAUGGUUUGCAUGCCCUGCCGAAGGACCCUAUCAUGCGCAAUAGGUGGUUGGAUUUCGUUGCUCUCCAGUGGUGACAAAGUGCACAGUUGGUCAUGAACGGAUGCCAGGACCUACAAGAAAGAGCAAAGCUUGUCAGGAAAGACCUCAGAAUAAAAGUGUGUCAUGCGACACAAGUACUCGUGUGAUAAGGAGGACCGAGCACUCCCCCAUUCUCAUCGACGGGGCUGUAGUGGAGCAGGUUGAGAGCUUCAAGUUCUUUGGUG
Molecule: non-coding RNA, 430 nt
Organism: Salvelinus sp. IW2-2015
Lineage: Eukaryota; Metazoa; Chordata; Actinopteri; Salmoniformes; Salmonidae
Source: RefSeq, a predicted model, not a curated record